AUAAUAGCAAAUCUGCCAUGGAGGUCUACUAUCCCCAGCUAUGUUAGUGUAUCCAGGAAUUCCUCUUCCGGCUUGACUGAGUGACAGCUGCUUGCCAGUCGGACAUUACGUGUGGCUGAAGCUAACCGUACUCGUACUCCCAGUCCAGAUGGCUCCUCCGCCUGCCUGGACACAUGAAGAUGACAUGAGUCUGCCCGCCCCUGGCUGUAAACUCUGAUGAUGGCCUCUCCUGGCAGGCAACUCAUGCUGAAAAAUCCUGUUGACGAGGAUAAAAUGCAAAAACAAGCCGAGUCGAGUCGAGUCGAGUAGUGUCGAGUCGAGGAAGAGGCGGAGCUAAGUGAAGUGUAGACACAGUGUCGGGCUUUGCAUCCUGGGACGGGACUUGGCUUGGGAUAAGUUUAUUGUUGUAUGUGCCACACGAAUUGUUUUCUGGUCAAAUCUGUCACUCGGCCUGUCCAACUGUCACAGUCUAAAACGAAUAGGAAGAGUAGGAGUUGGGGAAAGAAAAGACCAUGACAUGGACCCUAGUACCAGGACCAGCUAGACUCCAAUCCCCCAUUGCAGGAUUCAGAUUCUAGAGAUUGAUGAUGGCAUUGCGUUGAUUGUGGAAAAUGUGUGAUAACCU
This is a non-coding RNA of Drosophila melanogaster (fruit fly), 625 nucleotides long. The record is from Ensembl. NCBI's taxonomy places the organism in Eukaryota, Metazoa, Arthropoda, Insecta, Diptera, Drosophilidae.